Non-coding RNA from Potamilus streckersoni, 77 nucleotides. NCBI's taxonomy places the organism in Eukaryota, Metazoa, Mollusca, Bivalvia, Unionida, Unionidae. The record is from the annotation of a GenBank genome assembly.
UGAUAAUGGCUUACUGGUAGAGCGUCCGCCUCGGAUGCGGGAGGUCGCGGAUUCGAACCACAGCCGAGUCAUAUCAA